RNAcentral lists this unclassified non-coding RNA (226 nucleotides) under Hevea brasiliensis (rubber tree). The record is from RNAcentral. Lineage: Eukaryota; Viridiplantae; Streptophyta; Magnoliopsida; Malpighiales; Euphorbiaceae.
AAAAUCUUCAUUUGAAGUUAUUCCCAAGCCUUUUAAUAGUGAUUGUUAUUCCUUAACAUACUUUCUCACUGGGCAUAGUUCUUGGUAUCUAUUUUGCCAAUAUUUCUUAUUGGUUUAGUAGCAUUUCAUUUUCCUCCUCGCUCUACAGCACUCCAUCUCUCUCUCAUACUUGUUUGUAACCUCCAUCUUUCUGUUACCAUCUGCAGAAGUACCAUAGAGAUGUUUU